UACGGAGGGAGCAAGCGUUGUUCGGAUUUACUGGGCGUAAAGGGCGCGUAGGCGGCGUGUUAAGUCAGCUGUGAAAUCUCCAAGCUUAACUUGGAACGGUCAGCUGAUACUGAUGUGCUAGAGUGCAGAAAGGGCAAUCGGAAUUCUUGGUGUAGCGGUGAAAUGCGUAGAUAUCAAGAGGAACACCUGAGGCGAAGGCGGGUUGCUAGGCUGACACUGACGCUGAGGCGCGAAAGCUAGGGUAGCAAACGGG
Molecule: ribosomal RNA, 253 nt
Filed under: uncultured bacterium
Lineage: Bacteria
Description: partial 16S ribosomal RNA
Rfam family: Bacterial small subunit ribosomal RNA
Source: RNAcentral